UAUCGACGUUGUCUGGGCUUCUUCUUCUUUUUAGUUUAAUAGCGGUUGGUAAACCAGCUUAGUGGUGCAUUACCGCCACCUGCUGCACUGGAGUGUGGCUCCUCCAAUAAAUGCCCACACCUUUUCCGGCUUUUAGGCCAAUCAGCGACGCGCCCUGCGUGAACACGGGGUUUGAAAUAUGCAGAGACUCGGCUAAGCUAGACGAGAAAGAGAGUUCAUCUUAUUUUGUUCUGCACUACUUCCUGUCACACACACAAGACCCAUGUCAGCGGCUAUGGCGAAUGAUACCGCGUGGAUGACGACGUGGAAUAUGGACACAAAUCCCAGCAACAGAUGCUGUGGUCUAGAUGUCAUGGAAGGUCCUCUUCCCCCUCUCCAAGGCAGAACUUCGAGCUCCAUGACCUGAUGACACGAGCUCCUUCAUUCUUUAAGUCUUAAAAUUGGACAGCUUAUGCUUACAUGGGAUGACCCAAAUAUAUCCUGCCAGCAAAAGUAGGUGGAGGAAGAAGGACCCCAAAACUGGCAGCUUAAUAUCAGAACACUGUCAGCCCUACAGCAGCAGACACUGCAGUCACUGGUACAGCUCUUUGUGGACCUUCACUAGUUGUGCACAUCACCAGUCACUGAGCUGCUGCAGAAUGACCUACAUUGACCCGAUGUUACCCAAUGCUGGAAAACAAUUUCCAGUAGUGAAUUCUCAAAGGAUCCAAACCUCUUCCUUCUUAUUUGAUGAUUGAAACAUCAGCUUGCAGCCUCGUGCACAGCGAGGAAUCGGACAAGAUUUUGCAUCAGAAGAAAUAUCCAAAGUGGUGGGGAGCAUCAUGACCAGCCUUGGAAGAUCUGUGUUAUUGGCUUAAAUUGAACAUUUUCCUUCACUCUUACCACAGCAACAACCAUCCAGGCAAAUACUGUAAUAAAAUGGCACAAACUUGUAUCAUAUUUCUCGUAGUUCUGAUUUUGGGGUCAUAACAUCCAGCUCUCAAAUAGCUGAAUUAAAGCAGCAGAGGGUUCAUUAAUCACUUUUGCUGAAAGUGUUUUGCAGAAGUGACAGCAACUGGACUCCUAAGAACGAUUACAGUUUCAGUGAAUGCCUUGCAUCAUCAGAGGCUUCAGCUCAUUUUAAAUAUCUGCUUGUUCUAUUGUUUUGUCAUCGAGCAGGGUUAGA
Pundamilia nyererei is the source of this 1165-nucleotide long non-coding RNA. RefSeq lists it as uncharacterized. The transcript is spliced from 6 exons. The record is from RefSeq and is a predicted model, not a curated record. NCBI's taxonomy places the organism in Eukaryota, Metazoa, Chordata, Actinopteri, Cichliformes, Cichlidae.